GACGAGGGAUCCAAGCGUUGUUCGGAAUUAUUGGGCGUAAAGCGGGUGUAGGUUGCUUGGUAAGUCAGAUGUGAAAGCCCCGGGCUUAACCCUGGAAGUGCAUUUGAUACUGCCUUGCUUGAGUGUGGGAGAGGAUAGUAGAAUUCCUGGUGUAGUGGUGAAAUACGUAGAUAUCAGGAGGAAUACCUGAGGCGAAGGCGGCUAUCUGGCCCAACACUGACACUCAGACCCGAAAGCAUGGGGAGCAAACAGG
Molecule: ribosomal RNA, 253 nt
Filed under: uncultured bacterium
Lineage: Bacteria
Description: partial 16S ribosomal RNA
Rfam family: Bacterial small subunit ribosomal RNA
Source: RNAcentral